This 266-nucleotide ribosomal RNA is filed under the name uncultured bacterium. Its description in RNAcentral is "partial 16S ribosomal RNA". It matches the Rfam family "Bacterial small subunit ribosomal RNA", at positions 793 to 1055 of the family's 1533-position model. The record is from RNAcentral.
GUCCACGCCCUAAACGAUGUCUACUAGUUGUUGGGGUAGCAAUACCUCAGUGACGCAGCUAACGCGUGAAGUAGACCGCCUGGGGAGUACGGUCGCAAGAUUAAAACUCAAAGGAAUUGACGGGGGCCCCGCACAAGCGGUGGAUUAUGUGGAUUAAUUCGAUGCAACGCGAAAAACCUUACCUGGCCUUGACAUGCCACUAACGAAGCAGAGAUGCAUUAGGUGCCCGAAAGGGAAAGUGGACACAGGUGCUGCAUGGCUGUCGU